RNAcentral lists this transfer RNA (71 nucleotides) under Myotis brandtii (Brandt's bat). It matches the Rfam family "tRNA". From Rfam's summary of the family: Transfer RNA (tRNA) molecules are approximately 80 nucleotides in length. Their secondary structure includes four short double-helical elements and three loops (D, anti-codon, and T loops). Lineage: Eukaryota; Metazoa; Chordata; Mammalia; Chiroptera; Vespertilionidae. The record is from Rfam by way of RNAcentral.
GCCCGUGUGGCUCAGUGGUUGAGCGUCGGCCUAUGAACCAGGAGGUCAGGGUUCGAUUCCCAGUCAGGGCA